Mesocricetus auratus (golden hamster) is the source of this 417-nucleotide long non-coding RNA. RefSeq lists it as uncharacterized. Lineage: Eukaryota; Metazoa; Chordata; Mammalia; Rodentia; Cricetidae. The record is from RefSeq and is a predicted model, not a curated record. The transcript is spliced from 3 exons.
AUUGCCCUAAAGUUGCUAGACACUGACACAGAUUUUCUAACAUUACAGCUCUCAUCCCAGUACCUCCCUGACUGAAAACCCCUGGAGAUAAGUAGCCAGUUCAUAUGCAUAUUGAAAAGUGAGGCAUUCCCAGCAUCUGCAAGAUAUUGGAGUUAUUUCCUGAAUACUUGACCUCUGAAAUAUGACAAUAGGUCUGUAAAUCUCUACUGUUUAUAAGGUCACACACAGAGGAUGCACCAACAAGGUCCAGUGAGGAUACAGAGAUGAUGGUGUGCCAGAAACCAGAGCCCUUGAAACAGACCAGUGACACAUUGCAAUGGACAUUUGCUAGUAAAACUGAUGGGGCAAAGAGGAAUACUUCAUGGUACACUGAAGCUUCCACUGACAACAGGAUGAAUAAAAUGUAUUGGAAAAGCA